Molecule: non-coding RNA, 974 nt
Organism: Mus caroli (Ryukyu mouse)
Lineage: Eukaryota; Metazoa; Chordata; Mammalia; Rodentia; Muridae
Source: RefSeq, a predicted model, not a curated record
AUGGCUGCCUACAAGCUGGUGCUGGGCCGGCAUGGCAAAAGCGCCUGGAACCUGGAGAACCGCUUCAGCGGCUGGUAUGACGCCGACCUGAGCCCGGCGGGCCACGAGGAGGCGAAGCGCGGCGGGCAGGCGUUGCGAGAUGCUGGCUAUGAAUUUGACAUCUGCUUCACCUCUGUGGAGAAGUGAGCAAUCCGGACCCUCUGGACAGUCCUGGGUGCCGUUGACCAGAUGUGGUUGCCAAUGGUCAGGACUUGGCACCUCAAUGAGGGACACUAUGGCGGUCUAACAGGUCUCAACAAAGCAGAAACUGCUGCUAAGCAUGGUGAGGCCCAGGUAAAGAUCUGGAGACGAUCUUACGAUCUUACGAUGUCCCACCGCCUCCCAUGGAGCCUGAUCACCCCUUCUAUAGCAACAUCAGCAAGGAUCGCAGGUACGCAGACCUUACUGAAAACCAGCUCCCCUCCUGUGAGAGCCUGAAGGAUACUAUUGCCAGAGCACUGCCCUUCUGGAAUGAAGAAAUUGUCCCCCAGAUCAAAGAGGGGAAAAGGGUCUUGAUUGCGGCCCAUGGCAACAGCCUUCGGGGCAUCGUUAAGCAUCUCUCAGAAGAGGCCAUCAUGGAGCUGAACCUGCCCAUGGGCAUCCCCAUCAUCUAUGAACUGGACAAGAACUUGAACCCCAUCAAGCCCAUGCAGUUCCUGGAAGACGAGGAGACCGUGCGCAAAGCCAUGGAAGCUGUGGCUGCUCAGGGCAAGGUGAAGAAGUGCAGGCGAGGAGGCAGACUCCUACCCCGACACCCUCCCUGCCUGUUCCUGCCUCCUGCACCCUCCCCAGCACCUGCCACACUGACUAUGUCUUUAGGAUUUUAAGUUUAAGUUGUAGCUGCAGAUGGGGGCCUGUGGCUCCCUUUUUCAUUGUAGUAUUUUAUCCCCUGCACCCACUCCCUUCAUAGAAUCUAGUCAGAAUAACGCCUCUGG